This 716-nucleotide long non-coding RNA is filed under the name Arachis ipaensis. RNAcentral describes it as "long non-coding RNA (AIPA_LNC001536)". Lineage: Eukaryota; Viridiplantae; Streptophyta; Magnoliopsida; Fabales; Fabaceae. The record is from RNAcentral.
AAGUCUUUAGGGGAGAAUAGCAUAACUCAUUUCGCCAAAUUCAUUUAAAAUCAUUAAAACCUUGGCUUUCCGAUUUGAGUAAUAAAAUAGGAUCUAAGCCAAACCGAGUCACGUAAUCAUUUACUUCUUUCAAAGCCGUUUCCUUUACUUAGGCAAAACCAGCUUCAACCCCCAUGAUAAAUUCUAAAGCGUUUCAACUGUUCAAAAUUGUUUUAGUCUUGCAAAAGUUCAGAGUUCAAAGAGUACUUAAAACCUUUCUCAAAACAUUUCAAAAUAAAACUUGUCAAUAGACAUUCAGGUUCUUUCAAAGUCGUUGAAACUUCUUUAAUUGAAACCCCCAAGUCAAAUUCAAAGGCUUAAACCCUUUUCGCAUUCAAACAGCUUUAAAACACAAGUUUUAUCUAAAUAACUUUCUCUUGAAAGAGAUACAAUGCCUUUCUUAAGAAGCAAGACUAAAUCACAAUUUCCUCUUUACUAACUCAUUUCGAAAGCAUGAAUCAUCCUUUUCUUGAUAAUUCAAAUAAAAUAGCAGAAGUCUUUAACUCAUCAUUUUCCAGACAACAUUUCAAUAAAGACUCGGAUUUUAUAGAAAUUUCGGCAGCACCUCCCCUAAAACUUGGACUUUUGCCACCCGGUUCGGGUCCCAACUAAACCGUUUCUCAUUCCUUUUCAACAGCUCAAAACCAGAAAUCAAUUCAAAAGCAAGAUAAAUCCAA